ACGGGGCCGCACAAGCGGUGGAUUAUGUGGAUUAAUUCGAUGCAACGCGAAAAACCUUACCCACCUUUGACAUGGCAGGAAUCCUGAAGAGAUUUGGGAGUGCUCGAAAGAGAACCUGCACACAGGUGCUGCAUGGCUGUCGUCAGCUCGUGUCGUGAGAUGUUGGGUUAAGUCCCGCAACGAGCGCAACCCUUAUCAUUAGUUGCUACGCAAGGGCACUCUAAUGAGACUGCCGGUGACAAACCGGAGGAAGGUGGGGAUGACGUCAAGUCCUCAUGGCCCUUAUGGGUAGGGCUUCACACGUCAUACAAUGGUCGGUACAGAGGGUUGCCAAGCCGCGAGGCGGAGCCAAUCCCACAAAGCCGAUCGUAGUCCGGAUUGUUCUCUGCAACUCGAGAGCAUGAAGUCGGAAUCGCUAGUAAUCGCAGGUCAGCAUACUGCGGUGAAUACGUUCCCGGGUCUU
RNAcentral lists this ribosomal RNA (463 nucleotides) under uncultured Thiobacillus sp. RNAcentral's name for it is "bacterial SSU rRNA". It matches the Rfam family "Bacterial small subunit ribosomal RNA", at positions 917 to 1381 of the family's 1533-position model. Lineage: Bacteria; Pseudomonadati; Pseudomonadota; Betaproteobacteria; Nitrosomonadales; Thiobacillaceae. The record is from RNAcentral.